AACCUUCCAGUUUCCUUUCCCAUUAGGUCUGUACACUGGUCUGAGUGGUUACAAAAGAAGGAAAAGUAAACUGGAAACUGACUUUAAUGCUUUUGUAGUAUAUAGGCUAAAUUUCAAACAGAA
Molecule: small nucleolar RNA, 123 nt
Organism: Echinops telfairi (small Madagascar hedgehog)
Lineage: Eukaryota; Metazoa; Chordata; Mammalia; Afrosoricida; Tenrecidae
Source: Ensembl